This 904-nucleotide ribosomal RNA is filed under the name Tylopus sp. 4 ADN-2017. RNAcentral describes it as "eukaryotic LSU rRNA". It matches the Rfam family "Eukaryotic large subunit ribosomal RNA", at positions 374 to 891 of the family's 3401-position model. The record is from RNAcentral. Lineage: Eukaryota; Metazoa; Arthropoda; Diplopoda; Polydesmida; Paradoxosomatidae.
CUUUGAAGAGAGAGUUCAAGAGUGCGUGAAACCGUUCGGAGGUAAACGGGUGGGAGCGCGAAGGUCGAACGGAUGGGGAGGGAUUCAACUCGGCGUGACGGUGCGUGCCUUGGCAUGGUGGCUCGGCGCCUUUGCUACGGCUCUGCCGUGGCAGAGGUCGUUGGCUGCCGGCUGGCUUGUCGCCGUCUCCGCCUUGUGCAUUUCCCUGUUCCCCCUCUCCUAGUAGGACGCCGUGACCGGCUGCUGAGGGGAGCCCAGGAGCUGGUGAGGGUAGCUGCGCGGAUGAGUGUGAGAUUCGCUCUCUGCAUCCGGUCUGUCUGCCCCUCGCCGUGCAGCGGGUGCUCUCCCCGGCCGAGGAAUGCUGAAGCGGGAUGUGGACCUUUGCGGUUCACCCCGUCCAAGCGCGUGCCCACCAAAAUUUCUGUGGGUGCGGGUCGAAAGAGUCCAACGGGUGGUUGGUGGACGGCUCGCUGGCCAGCCUCGUUGCUGAUCCAGCGGUCGUUUGUAGCCUCCGCCGUCUGUCAGGGCGCUGACUCCCGCAUCUAUGGGGCGCUGGGGGUCGACGGCGAGUAGGUCGGUUUCCCACCCGACCCGUCUUGAAACACGGACCAAGAAGUCUAACGUGUGGGCGAGUCUUCGGGGACUUUGUGAACCCUUUAAAAUACGAAGGCGAAAUAAAAGUGAAGGUCCUGUGUCGGGGUCUCUCUCUCGGGGGAGGCUCUGGCCGGGGCUGCAGUGAGAUCCCCCGUCUAAGGGCGGGGGCGCACCACUGGCCCGUCCUAUGACCGCUUUGCCGGUCGGGCGGAGCAAGAGCCCACGCGUUGGGACCCGAAAGAUGGUGAACUAUGCCUGGGCAGGACGAGGCCAGAGGAAACUCUGGUGGAAGUCCGCAGCGGUUCUGACG